AUACGGAGGAUGCAAGCGUUAUCCGGAUUUAUUGGGUUUAAAGGGUGCGUAGGCGGAUGAUUAAGCGUGAGGUGAAAUGCCACUGCUCAACAGUGGAACUGCCUCGCGAACUGGUUGUCUUGAAUGCUCCUGCCGUGGGAGGAAUGUGUGGUGUAGCGGUGAAAUGCAUAGAGAUCACACAGAACACCGAUUGCGAAGGCAUCUCACGAAGGGGUGAUUGACGCUGAGGCACGAAAGCGUGGGGAUCAAACAGGAUUAGAUACCCUGGUAGUCCACGCAGUAAACGAUGAUAACUAACCGCUGGGUCGUAGUGAUUCAGUGGCCAAGCGAGAGCGAUAAGUUAUCCACCUGGGGAGUACGACCGCAAGGUUGAAACUCAAAUGAAUUGACGGGG
RNAcentral lists this ribosomal RNA (394 nucleotides) under uncultured bacterium. Its description in RNAcentral is "partial 16S ribosomal RNA". It matches the Rfam family "Bacterial small subunit ribosomal RNA", at positions 523 to 918 of the family's 1533-position model. The record is from RNAcentral.